Regulatory RNA element from Gasterosteus aculeatus (three-spined stickleback), 54 nucleotides. It matches the Rfam family "UnaL2 LINE 3' element". Rfam says of the family: The eel long interspersed element (LINE) UnaL2 and its partner short interspersed element (SINE) share a conserved 3' tail containing a stem-loop that is critical for their retrotransposition. Presumably, the first step of retrotransposition is the recognition of their 3' tails by UnaL2-encoded reverse transcriptase. The record is from Rfam. NCBI's taxonomy places the organism in Eukaryota, Metazoa, Chordata, Actinopteri, Perciformes, Gasterosteidae.
UCUUGUUCUCUCUGUAAGUUGCUUUGGAUAAAAGCGUCUGCUAAAUGAUAGAUG